CCUACGGGUGGCAGCAGUGGGGAAUAUUGGACAAUGGGCGAAAGCCUGAUCCAGCCAUGCCGCGUGUGUGAAGAAGGCCUUCGGGUUGUAAAGCACUUUCAGUGGGGAAGAAAGCCUUGGGGCUAAUACCCUCGAGGAAGGACAUCACCCACAGAAGAAGCACCGGCUAACUCCGUGCCAGCAGCCGCGGUAAUACGGAGGGUGCGAGCGUUAAUCGGAAUUACUGGGCGUAAAGCGCGCGUAGGCGGUCUGAUAAGCCGGUUGUGAAAGCCCCGGGCUCAACCUGGGAACGGCAACCGGAACUGUCAGGCUAGAGUGCAGGAGAGGAAGGUAGAAUUCCCGGUGUAGCGGUGAAAUGCGUAGAGAUCGGGAGGAAUACCAGUGGCGAAGGCGGCCUUCUGGACUGACACUGACGCUGAGGUGCGAAAGCGUGGGUAGCAAACAGGAUUAGAUACCCGAGUAGU
This 464-nucleotide ribosomal RNA is filed under the name Vreelandella stevensii. Its description in RNAcentral is "partial 16S ribosomal RNA". It matches the Rfam family "Bacterial small subunit ribosomal RNA", at positions 338 to 794 of the family's 1533-position model. Lineage: Bacteria; Pseudomonadati; Pseudomonadota; Gammaproteobacteria; Oceanospirillales; Halomonadaceae. The record is from RNAcentral.